Molecule: ribosomal RNA, 253 nt
Filed under: uncultured bacterium
Lineage: Bacteria
Description: partial 16S ribosomal RNA
Rfam family: Bacterial small subunit ribosomal RNA
Source: RNAcentral
CACGUAGGGCGCGAGCGUUGUCCGGAAUUAUUGGGCGUAAAGAGCUCGUAGGCGGCCUGUUGCGUCCGCUGUGAAAGCCCGGGGCUUAACCCCGGGUCGGCAGUGGAUACGGGCAGGCUAGAGGUAGGUAGGGGAGAAUGGAAUUCCCGGUGUAGCGGUGAAAUGCGCAGAUAUCAGGAGGAACACCGGUGGCGAAGGCGGGACUCUGGGCCGAUACUGACGCUGAGGAGCGAAAGCGUGGGGAGCAAACAGG